UAGCAAAGCUAGACCUUUACUGGUUUUCAGUCUCUGUGCUUUCCUACAAUGCUUGCUAGAAUGUUCUGAAAUGGUUUGAGGCCUUGACCCAUGCCUUGCUUGAAGCAUGGUCAUAGACAUUUCAGAUGGUU
Small nucleolar RNA from Bos indicus x Bos taurus (hybrid cattle), 131 nucleotides. The record is from Ensembl. NCBI's taxonomy places the organism in Eukaryota, Metazoa, Chordata, Mammalia, Artiodactyla, Bovidae.